CCGAAGCGUUUAUGACCAGACCUGGGCUUGGUUAAUCAUCUGGGGUUCUCCCCAGUGCACUUUUCCAGUCCAGGCCAGCAUCAGUUUUCCCCGGGGGAUAAAGACUUCGGGAAUGUGGCUCUCUUCGGGGAGUGUUAUAGCCCGUUGUGUAAUACCCUGGGGGGGACUGAGGUUCGCGCAUCUGCAAGGAUGCUGGCGUAAUGGUCAUCAACGACCCGUCUUGAAACACGGACCAAGGAGUCGUCUUCGUAUGCGAGUGUUCGGGUGUCAAACCCCUACGCGUAAUGAAAGUGAACGCAGGUGAGAGCUUCGGCGCAUCAUCGACCGAUCCUGAUGUUCUCGGAUGGAUUUGAGUAAGAGCAUACGGGGCCGGACCCGAAAGAAGGUGAACUAUGCCUGUAUAGGGUGAAGCCAGAGGAAACUCUGGUGGAGGCUCGCAGCGGUUCUGACGUGCAAAUCGAUCGUCAAAUAUGGGCAUGGGGGCGAAAGACUAAUCGAACCUUCUAGUAGCUGGUUUCCGCCGAAGUUUCCCUCAGGAUAGCAGUGUUGAACUCAGUUUUAUGAGGUAAAGCGAAUGAUUAGGGACUCGGGGGCGCUAUUUAGCCUUCAUCCAUUCUCAAACUUUAAAUAUGUAAGAAGCUCUUGUUGCUUAAUUGAACGUGAGCAUUCGAAUGUAUCAACACUAGUGGGCCAUUUUUGGUAAGCAGAACUGGCGAUGCGGGAUGAACCGAACGCGAGGUUAAGGUGCCAGAGUAGACGCUCAUCAGACCUCACAAAAGGUGUUAGUACAUCUUGACAGCAGGACGGUGGCCAUGGAAGUCGGAAUCCGCUAAGGACUGUGUAACAACUCACCUGCCGAAUGUACUAGCCCUGAAAAUGGAUGGCGCUCAAGCGUCUCACCCAUACCUCGCCCUCAGGGUAGAAACGAUGCCCUGAGGAGUAGGCGGACGUGGAGGU
Molecule: ribosomal RNA, 957 nt
Filed under: Fusarium fujikuroi
Lineage: Eukaryota; Fungi; Ascomycota; Sordariomycetes; Hypocreales; Nectriaceae
Description: partial large subunit ribosomal RNA
Rfam family: Eukaryotic large subunit ribosomal RNA
Source: RNAcentral